CCUACGGGUGGCAGCAGUGAGGAAUAUUGGUCAAUGGACGAGAGUCUGAACCAGCCAAGUAGCGUGAAGGAUGACUGCCCUAUGGGUUGUAAACUUCUUUUAUAAAGGAAUAAAACGAGGCACGUGUGCCUUUUUGCAUGUACUUUAUGAUUAAGGAUCGGCUAACUCCGUGACAGCAGCCGCGGUAAUACGGAGGAUCCGAGCGUUAACCGGAUUGAUUGGGUUUAAAGGGAGCGUAGAUGGGUUGUUAAGUAAGUUGUGAAAGUUUGCGGCUCAACCGUAAGAUUGCAAUUGAUACUGGCAGUCUUGAGUACAGUUGAGGUAGGCGGAAUUCGUGGUGUAGCGGUGAAAUGCUUAGAUAUCACGAAGAACCCCGAUUGCGAAGGCAGCUUACUAAACUGUGACUGACAUUGAUGCUCGAAAGUGUGGGUAGCAAACAGGAGUAGAUACCCCAGUAGUC
This 460-nucleotide ribosomal RNA is filed under the name uncultured bacterium. Its description in RNAcentral is "partial 16S ribosomal RNA". It matches the Rfam family "Bacterial small subunit ribosomal RNA", at positions 338 to 795 of the family's 1533-position model. The record is from RNAcentral.